UGGGGAAUCUUGCGCAAUGGCCGAAAGGCUGACGCAGCGACGCCGCGUGUGGGAUGAAGGUCUUCGGAUUGUAAACCACUGUCGGGAGGGACGAAGCUCUGACGGUACCUCCAAAGGAAGCACCGGCUAACUCUGUGCCAGCAGCCGCGGUAAUACAGAGGGUGCGAGCGUUGUCCGGAAUCACUGGGCGUAAAGGGCGCGUAGGCGGCCUGGUAAGUCGGGGGUGAAACGCUGCGGCUCAACCGCAGCACUGCCUUCGAGACUGCCUGGCUUGAGCACGGUAGAGGCUGGUGGAAUUCCCGGUGUAGCGGUGGAAUGCGUAGAGAUCGGGAAGAACAUCGGUGGCGAAGGCGGCCAGCUGGGCCGUUGCUGACGCUGAGGCGCGACAGCGUGGGGAGCAAACAGGAUUAGAUACCCUGGUAGUCCACGCCGUAAACGAUGGGUACUAGGCGUCGGGGGGAGCGGACCUCUCGGUGCCGUCGCUAACGCGUU
This 492-nucleotide ribosomal RNA is filed under the name uncultured bacterium. Its description in RNAcentral is "bacterial SSU rRNA". It matches the Rfam family "Bacterial small subunit ribosomal RNA", at positions 355 to 861 of the family's 1533-position model. The record is from RNAcentral.